This 57-nucleotide transfer RNA is filed under the name Trichostrongylus vitrinus. RNAcentral's name for it is "tRNA-Val". The record is from RNAcentral. Lineage: Eukaryota; Metazoa; Nematoda; Chromadorea; Rhabditida; Trichostrongylidae.
AGAAUUUUUAGUUUAAUAAGAAUAUAUUAUUUACACUAAUAUGGUAUAAAAUUCUUU